Molecule: unclassified non-coding RNA, 316 nt
Filed under: Hevea brasiliensis (rubber tree)
Lineage: Eukaryota; Viridiplantae; Streptophyta; Magnoliopsida; Malpighiales; Euphorbiaceae
Source: RNAcentral
UGCCAUGUAGGGCUAUGUUCUGCAAGCCCUUGCAUUCUCUUAAUAAAUUUGAAGGCAUCUGAUUGAGAUUAUUAUUGUUCAAACAGAGUGAUUUUAGCUGAAUGAGAUUGCAAACUGAACCAGGAAGCUCUUCAAUGGAGUUAUCAUUUGCUUGCAGUUCUUCCAAUGAGCAGCAACUUCCAAUUGAUUCAGGAAGAAACUUUAACUUGUUGUUUGAAACAUUCAACAAAACCAAACUCCGCAAGCUCCCGAUUGUGUCAGGCAAGCUGGUCAAAAGGUUUGCUGAGACAGACAGACGCUCAAGUUUCACCAACUG